UCUUUUUAGCUACUCUCUACUUUCUAAUAUUUCUAAAUCCUCCCCAAAUGCUUAGCCCCAAAUAAUCAGUCAUGAGUCUGAGGAGGACAUGCCAUGCCAUAUUUAAUGCAAAUGCUCAUGAUUAGUGAUAAUAAAAUUAAACCUUCAAGUAUGUUUUAGGAACUUUAAUCAACAUUGUUUGUUAAUCUGUGAAGUAAUUUCCAUGUAACCCGGAAGAGUUGGAACAUGCUCUGACUCUACCACACAUUUUAUGAUGACAUUCCAUCUGCCCUCACAAUAUGGUGAGGUCCUACAUUUCCAAGAAUGAUUGGAAUUAGUGUUGUAACUUUGACAAUAAAAUGCUACCUGACAAAGACAUCUUAUUUGUAAAUUUUAGCUUAAGUGUUUAGCUUCUUUUUAAAGAUUUUGGAAGUCCUAAGGGAGUCAAGAUUUGAGAAAAGUCUCUAGUAUUCAUUUGAUAUGCUAAAAUUUAGAGGUUUUUUUUUUUUUGGAGCAUGAGUAUAUGUAAAUUUUCUUAAAAUUUUAUCCAGAGCCAGUUUUUCAUGAUCACUUAAAAAUUAAAAAAAAAAUCUGUACCACAAGCACAGAUACACCCUUCCACACACAGACACAGAGACACACACACAGACACACACAGAGACGCACACAUACACACAGACACACACACAGAAAGACACACACACACGUACUCACACGUUCAUGCAUGUGUGUGUGUAUACAUGUUCAUGUUUGUAUGGGUGCAGGUGAUAUGUCAUAGAGAGAUCAGAAGGUGUUUUGAGGUGUCAAGCUGAAGAAUGUAAUUUAUCUGCAUAGACACAGAUAUUUUAUUGUUCUCUAAGUCACCAAUUAGGCUAAACCAUGUGGCCAGCAAACCACAGGGAUCCUCCUGCCUCUGACAUCCAACAAUUACAAACAUGUCUGGCAUUUACAUUAGUUCUGGGAAUUAAAACCAGGCACUAAUGCUCAUGAGGCAAGCACUUUACUAUCUCAUCCAUCUCCUUAGCCAACACUUGAUUUUUUUCCAGAACUGUAAACUUGUAAAACUAAUUGUCACCUGUGCCAUGAACAAGAACAGUAGCAUGAUUGUAAGAUACUCAAAGAUUAUUUAAUCCCUCAGAACUUUCAUUCAGCCAUACAAAAAUACUUUCUUAUGUGAAUUUUUAUCCAAACCACUUGUUCAUAAUCAACCUACUCAAAGUGCAAGUGAAUAUUUUUCACUUGAAUUUCAGAAUUUAUAAGACAGAUGUUGACAGUUGAUUUAAUCUGUAUUGAUAUAGGAUUUCAAAAGAUUUUUCCCAUGGUUAAAUCUUCACUUUAGGAUUUUUGUAUUUGAUUUUGCACUUGUCCCAUUAAUUAUUUCUUUUUCUUUAAAUAUCCAGGGAAAGUUGAUGGUCCUUAGUCUAAAAUUAUUUCUGGCAAAUGACCAAAAGAACAGAUUAUAUUUUUUCUUCAGGAAGAGUAUCAUCUGCAUAUCCUCCCCAAAGUCAGGAUUCUUGUC
This 1498-nucleotide long non-coding RNA is filed under the name Mus musculus (house mouse). Its description in RNAcentral is "long non-coding RNA chr14:123768091-123769589". Lineage: Eukaryota; Metazoa; Chordata; Mammalia; Rodentia; Muridae. The record is from RNAcentral.